AGAGUUUGAUCCUGGCUCAGGAUGAACGCUGGCGGCGUGCCUAAUACAUGCAAGUCGAGCGAACGGACGAGAAGCUUGCUUCUCUGAUGUUAGCGGCGGACGGGUGAGUAACACGUGGAUAACCUACCUAUAAGACUGGGAUAACUUCGGGAAACCGGAGCUAAUACCGGAUAAUAUUUUGAACCGCAUGGUUCAAAAGUGAAAGACGGUCUUGCUGUCACUUAUAGAUGGAUCCGCGCUGCAUUAGCUAGUUGGUAAGGUAACGGCUUACCAAGGCAACGAUGCAUAGCCGACCUGAGAGGGUGAUCGGCCACACUGGAACUGAGACACGGUCCAGACUCCUACGGGAGGCAGCAGUAGGGAAUCUUCCGCAAUGGGCGAAAGCCUGACGGAGCAACGCCGCGUGAGUGAUGAAGGUCUUCGGAUCGUAAAACUCUGUUAUUAGGGAAGAACAUAUGUGUAAGUAACUGUGCACAUCUUGACGGUACCUAAUCAGAAAGCCACGGCUAACUACGUGCCAGCAGCCGCGGUAAUACGUAGGUGGCAAGCGUUAUCCGGAAUUAUUGGGCGUAAAGCGCGCGUAGGCGGUUUUUUAAGUCUGAUGUGAAAGCCCACGGCUCAACCGUGGAGGGUCAUUGGAAACUGGAAAACUUGAGUGCAGAAGAGGAAAGUGGAAUUCCAUGUGUAGCGGUGAAAUGCGCAGAGAUAUGGAGGAACACCAGUGGCGAAGGCGACUUUCUGGUCUGUAACUGACGCUGAUGUGCGAAAGCGUGGGGAUCAAACAGGAUUAGAUACCCUGGUAGUCCACGCCGUAAACGAUGAGUGCUAAGUGUUAGGGGGUUUCCGCCCCUUAGUGCUGCAGCUAACGCAUUAAGCACUCCGCCUGGGGAGUACGACCGCAAGGUUGAAACUCAAAGGAAUUGACGGGGACCCGCACAAGCGGUGGAGCAUGUGGUUUAAUUCGAAGCAACGCGAAGAACCUUACCAAAUCUUGACAUCCUUUGACAACUCUAGAGAUAGAGCCUUCCCCUUCGGGGGACAAAGUGACAGGUGGUGCAUGGUUGUCGUCAGCUCGUGUCGUGAGAUGUUGGGUUAAGUCCCGCAACGAGCGCAACCCUUAAGCUUAGUUGCCAUCAUUAAGUUGGGCACUCUAAGUUGACUGCCGGUGACAAACCGGAGGAAGGUGGGGAUGACGUCAAAUCAUCAUGCCCCUUAUGAUUUGGGCUACACACGUGCUACAAUGGACAAUACAAAGGGCAGCGAAACCGCGAGGUCAAGCAAAUCCCAUAAAGUUGUUCUUAGUUCGGAUUGUAGUCUGCAACUCGACUACAUGAAGCUGGAAUCGCUAGUAAUCGUAGAUCAGCAUGCUACGGUGAAUACGUUCCCGGGUCUUGUACACACCGCCCGUCACACCACGAGAGUUUGUAACACCCGAAGCCGGUGGAGUAACCUUUUAGGAGCUAGCCGUCGAAGGUGGGACAAAUGAUUGGGGUGAAGUCGUAACAAGGUAGCCGUAUCGGAAGGUGCGGCUGGAUCACCU
This 1540-nucleotide ribosomal RNA is filed under the name Staphylococcus aureus. Its description in RNAcentral is "16S ribosomal RNA". It matches the Rfam family "Bacterial small subunit ribosomal RNA". The record is from RNAcentral. Lineage: Bacteria; Bacillati; Bacillota; Bacilli; Caryophanales; Staphylococcaceae.